GUUGACUUUAUUAAAUGAUGAGAAAAUGAUGUAAGCUCUUAGUGAUAAAUCCAGCAAUAAAAUAAUAGUUUGUCAAUGAAUUAUCAGGCAUCACUCUCAUGUUUACUGCUACUGUUUGACAUAAUAAAAAUAACACAAUACUGGUUAUCAAAUAAUGCAAUAUAAGUAGGAAUUGUUUAUUAGCAUACAAUUUUCCAUAAAUUAAAAGGAUGCUUUAAUAUCUAAGACAAAUAGCCUAUUGAAUGGCAAAGUCUUGAGGUUUUUUUUUUUUUUUAUCAAUUCCAUUUAAAUUAUGCCCUUUAAUGUCUUUCUAGCCCAAAAAUAUACUUCAGUAACUCAUAGUGUUGCCUUUAACUCAGACUUUUAAACUCAUUUUUAAGGUUAACAAAAUGUUUUUGAAAUUAUAUGUUUGUGAUCUAAAAAUAAAAUAAAAUUUAAAAACAAAAGGAAAAACCUUAUACCAUGUUCUUAAGCAAUUUUCUUGACCUAUUUUAACUCAAAAUUUCUCUUUUACCUAAAUGAGAUUUAGUUGUUUAAGGAAGGCAUUUCCAAUGCUAAGGUUUUUAAAAUCUAUUUACUCUAGUGAGUCUUUACUGAAUACCCCGCCUUCAAUAUCUCUUCAGUCCAAAGUAGACUUCUUAUACUUACUAAAAAGAUCAAAAUCCUGUGCUGGCUUCCCAGUGUUUAAGACUCUAAUAUUUACAGUUUUCUACAGAGACACAGAACUUCCUAGAAGCAAAUAGAAGUUUUAAAGAAGUUUAGCAUCUGGCUAGGAGAAGAAGAAAA
Long non-coding RNA from Pipistrellus kuhlii (Kuhl's pipistrelle), 786 nucleotides. RefSeq lists it as uncharacterized. The record is from RefSeq and is a predicted model, not a curated record. The transcript has 2 exons. NCBI's taxonomy places the organism in Eukaryota, Metazoa, Chordata, Mammalia, Chiroptera, Vespertilionidae.